GCCAGACUCCUACGGGAGGCAGCAGUGAGGAAUAUUGGUCAAUGGACGAGAGUCUGAACCAGCCAAGUAGCGUGAAGGAUGACUGCCCUAUGGGUUGUAAACUUCUUUUAUAAAGGAAUAAAACGAGGCACGUGUACCUUUUUGCAUGUACUUUAUGAAUAAGGAUCGGCUAACUCCGUGCCAGCAGCCGCGGUAAUACGGAGGAUCCGAGCGUUAUCCGGAUUUAUUGGGUUUAAAGGGAGCGUAGAUGGGUUGUUAAGUCAGUUGUGAAAGUUUGCGGCUCAACCGUAAAAUUGCAAUUGAUACUGGCAGUCUUGAGUACAGUUGAGGUAGGCGGAAUUCGUGGUGUAGCGGUGAAAUGCUUAGAUAUCACGAAGAACCCCGAUUGCGAAGGCAGCCUACUAAACUGUGACUGACAUUGAUGCUCGAAAGUGUGGGUAUCGAACAGGAUUAGAUACCUGUGUA
This 465-nucleotide ribosomal RNA is filed under the name uncultured bacterium. RNAcentral's name for it is "bacterial SSU rRNA". It matches the Rfam family "Bacterial small subunit ribosomal RNA", at positions 330 to 792 of the family's 1533-position model. The record is from RNAcentral.